Molecule: ribosomal RNA, 253 nt
Filed under: uncultured bacterium
Lineage: Bacteria
Description: partial 16S ribosomal RNA
Rfam family: Bacterial small subunit ribosomal RNA
Source: RNAcentral
GACGUAGGGGGCGAGCGUUGUCCGGAAUCAUUGGGCGUAAAGAGCGCGUAGGCGGCCAGAUAAGUCCGGUGUGAAAGUCAAAGGCUCAACCUUUGAAUGCCGCUGGAAACUGUCUGGCUAGAGUCCGGGAGGGGCGAGUGGAAUUCCUGGUGUAGCGGUGAAAUGCGCAGAUAUCAGGAAGAACACCAAUGGCGAAGGCAGCUCUCUGGGACGGUACUGACGCUGAGACGCGAAAGCGUGGGGAGCGAACAGG